This 904-nucleotide ribosomal RNA is filed under the name Cardinium endosymbiont of Leucaspis pusilla. Its description in RNAcentral is "bacterial SSU rRNA". It matches the Rfam family "Bacterial small subunit ribosomal RNA", at positions 313 to 1219 of the family's 1533-position model. Lineage: Bacteria; Pseudomonadati; Bacteroidota; Cytophagia; Cytophagales; Amoebophilaceae. The record is from RNAcentral.
CUGGCACUGAGAUACGGGCCAGACUCCUACGGGAGGCAGCAGUAGGGAAUAUUGGUCAAUGGGCGCAAGCCUGAACCAGCCAUGCCGCGUGCAGGAUGAAGGCUCUCUGAGUUGUAAACUGCUUUUGUACAGGAGCAAAACAAUCCCUGCGGGGGUUCUUGAGCGUACUGUAAGAAUAAGCACCGGCUAAUUCCGUGCCAGCAGCCGCGGUAAUACGGAAGGUGCAAGCGUUAUCCGGUUUUAUUGGGUUUAAAGGGUGCGUAGGCGGUUUAUUAAGUCAGUUGUGAAAUCCUAGUGCUUAACGCUAGAACUGCGAUUGAUACUAAUAGACUUGAGUUAAGAAGAGGUAAGUAGAAUUUAUGGUGUAGUAGUGAAAUGCUUAGAUAUCAUAAGGAAUACCAAUAGCGUAGGCAGCUUACUGGUCUUUAACUGACGCUGAGGCACGAAAGCGUGGGGAGCAAACAGGAUUAGAUACCCUGGUAGUCCACGCCGUAAACGAUGAUCACUCGAUAUACGUGAAUUUUCAUGUGUGUCUAAGCGAAAGCGUUAAGUGAUCCACCUGGGGAGUAUACCCGCAAGGGUGAAACUCAAAGGAAUUGACGGGGGUCCGCACAAGCGGUGGAGUAUGUGGUUUAAUUCGAUAAUACGCGAGGAACCUUACCUGGGCUAGAAUGUAUUUUGCUACUUCAAGAAAUUGAGGGUUCCUUUGGGACAAAAUACAAGGUGCUGCAUGGCUGUCGUCAGCUCGUGCCGUGAGGUGUUAGGUUAAGUCCUAUAACGAGCGAAACCCUUUUACUUAAUUGCCAGCACGUAAUGGUGGGAACUUUAAGUAGACUGCCCGUGUAAGCGGGAGGAAGGAGAGGAUGAGGUCAAGUCAUCAUGGCCUUUAUGCCCAGGGCUACAC